Molecule: ribosomal RNA, 446 nt
Filed under: uncultured bacterium
Lineage: Bacteria
Description: partial 16S ribosomal RNA
Rfam family: Bacterial small subunit ribosomal RNA
Source: RNAcentral
CCUACGGGGCGCAGCAGUCGAGAAUCAUUCACAAUGGGGGAAACCCUGAUGGUGCGACGCCGCGUGGGGGAAUGAAGGUCUUCGGAUUGUAAACCCCUGUCAUGUGGGAGCAAAUUAAAAAGAUAGUACCACAAGAGGAAGAGACGGCUAACUCUGUUCCAGCAGCCGCGGUAAUACAGAGGUCUCAAGCGGUGUUCGGAAUCACUGGGCGUAAAGCGUGCGUAGGCUGUUUCGUAAGUCGGGUGUGAAAGGGGCGGGCUCAACCCGCGGACGGCACAUGAUACUGGGAGACUAGAGUAAUGGAGGGGGAACCGGAAUGCUCGGUGUAGCAGUGAAAUGCGUAGAUAUCGAGAGGAACACUCGUGGCGAAGGCGGGUUCCUGGACAUUAACUGACGCUGAGGCACGAAGGCCAGGGGAGCGAAAGGGAUUAGAUACCCUUGUAGUC